GUGGGGAAUAUUGGACAAUGGGCGCAAGCCUGAUCCAGCAAUGCCGCGUGGGUGAAGAAGGCCUUCGGAUUGUAAAGCACUUUAAGUUGGGAGGAAGGGCAGUAAGUUAAUACCUUGCUGUUUUGACGUUACCGACAGAAUAAGCACCGGCUAACUUCGUGCCAGCAGCCGCGGUAAUACGAAGGGUGCAAGCGUUAAUCGGAAUUACUGGGCGUAAAGCGCGCGUAGGUGGUUUUGUAAGUUGGAGGUGAAAUCCCCGGGCUCAACCUGGGAACUGCCUCCAAAACUGCAUGACUAGAGUACGGUAGAGGGUAGUGGAAUUUCCUGUGUAGCGGUGAAAUGCGUAGAUAUAGGAAGGAACACCAGUGGCGAAGGCGACUACCUGGACUGAUACUGACACUGAGGUGCGAAAGCGUGGGGAGCAAACAGGAUUAGAAACCCUAGUAGUCC
RNAcentral lists this ribosomal RNA (450 nucleotides) under uncultured bacterium. Its description in RNAcentral is "partial 16S ribosomal RNA". It matches the Rfam family "Bacterial small subunit ribosomal RNA", at positions 354 to 796 of the family's 1533-position model. The record is from RNAcentral.